RNAcentral lists this ribosomal RNA (468 nucleotides) under uncultured bacterium. RNAcentral's name for it is "partial 16S ribosomal RNA". It matches the Rfam family "Bacterial small subunit ribosomal RNA", at positions 28 to 507 of the family's 1533-position model. The record is from RNAcentral.
GACGAACGCUGGCGGCGUGCUUAACACAUGCAAGUCGAACGGAAAGGCCCUGCUUUUGUGGGGUGCUCGAGUGGCGAACGGGUGAGUAACACGAGAGUAACCUGCCCUUGACUUUGGGAUAACUUCAGGAAACUGGGGCUAAUACCGGAUAGGAGCUCCUGCGGCAUGGUGGGGGUUGGAAAGUUUCGGCGGUUGGGGAUGGACUCGCGGCUUAUCAGCUUGUUGGUGGGGUAGUGGCUUACCAAGGCUUUGACGGGUAGCCGGCCUGAGAGGGUGACCGGCCACAUUGGGACUGAGAUACGGCCCAGACUCCUACGGGAGGCAGCAGUGGGGAAUAUUACACAAUGGGCGGAAGCCUGAUGCAGCAACGCCGCGUGCGGGAUGACGGCCUUCGGGUUGUAAACCGCUUUCGCCUGUGACGAAGCGUGAGUGACGGUAAUGGGUAAAGAAGCACCGGCUAACUACGUG